UGUGUUUCUUUGGUAAUUACAUCCUAGUAAUAACCUGAAUUAUGUCGCAACUGUCAGAAUGGGGGUUUCCAACAUUGCAGUUUUCAUUAACCCUCUUUUGUUGCCAAAGAAACCAGACUGUGACAUCACCUUUUCGUCCCAGGCCUGCAGCAGUGAGGGCCAAACUGGGCUUCUAGGAGAGAGUGUUGGGCUUUGGACCAAAGAAGGAAGCAGGCAGGCAGGCAGGCAGGCAGGCAGGAGGAGGGAGACAGGGAGAAACCUCCCACAGACUGUUGUUCAGAGAGCGCGUACGCUCAGAGUAUGGCUACAAGGGUGAAUAUACCCUGCUUGGAUUUAGCAACUCUCGGCUGCCUACAGCACGUGUGUACAGGUCCCAAACCCUGUGUCUCGGCUCGGGUCUGCCCGUGGGAGGCCAUAAGCGUGUCUACACUCCUGAAGCUGUUCGGGGAACGCCUGGGGUGCAACAGUCCUCAUGCAUGGGAAGAGCCCGAGGCGUCCUCCAUGCCCCGUUAGCUUUGCGGAAGCAAGUCAGUUUGUCCUGUGAAGAUAUUUUUUCUUCCUCUUUCUUUGGUAAAGCAGAGCAGGGUUCCCCAUGGCCCAUUUCAUUCAUUCUGGGGUCUUGAGAGUAUCCCCAAAUAUUUCUUCUAAGAGGCAAUAUCCCUACGGUUACACCCCACCACACACACAGUUAGCCAGGGCCAAGCUUCCACUAGGCUUAACUCGGCCACAACUUGAUCAGUUAUUGAGAAAGUAAAAAAUCCAACUUUUUACAAUGUGAAGUUUCCCUGAAUAAUGUGCAGUCAUGUUAGAAAGAAAUCAAAACUUUCUCUCUUCAAAUUAUGGUGCUAUGAAGACAGUUUAAAACCAAAGCUUUGUGCUUACUGAGCAAGAAGGACUCUGCCCCUUAGUUCACUCAAUUAUUGAGUUUUGUUUUUGUUUUGUUUUGUUUGCUUUAUGAGGGAAAAGGGAGGUUUAGUAGAUUUUCAUUUUGAUCACUUUCAUAUAAGCUGAUUUUAUUAAAGGGGGAGAGAGAGAGAAGAAGAGGAAGAGGAAAACAGAAAUUAAGUCUUGAUGGAUGAUUUAAUUUGGCCUGCAUGUCUGUCCUAGCCAGAGCGGUUCCGAGUGCCGCCUCACAGUCAAUCACAUACCACAUUCGGUUCCACAGAACCUCGAAUGGACUCGGACACUGACUUCACUCCAAAAUACUUACUUGGAUUUUCUACAAAGGGACACCUACGUCUUUUAAUUAAAAGGUGCAUAAGUAGUAACAGAAUUUUCUUUGUCAUUUCGGCAAAGUUCAUUAUACUUCUCAGAAGUCUGAACCCUCAGGUUUUACCACUGAAAAGAAUCAGAACCUUUGCGCGACGGUUGUGGGUCACGCUCAGCCUCCGACUUAGCUUGGGGUUUGAGGAGUGCCCCCUGCGGCCCCGGUCAUCCGAUUGCCCUGUACUCUGGGCUUCCUCCUGGAUUGUUCAGGUGGAAAUGUUUCUCAAGGCUUGCGGCUUGGAAGGAGCACUCCGGAGGCCCUCACUGCAGGGCCAGGGCCUGACCUCAGGAGGGCACCCACGCAGGGACUUCCCAUUGGCCUCAAAGCUCAAAUUCCAGGAUGGUGGGGAAUGGAGGCGGCUCUCCACUACGUCCCCAGCACGCAGUGCAGCGCCGUCCUACGCACUGCUGGAGAUCAAACCUAAGACUCGAGACCACCAGGCCAGGGCUCUACCCGAGCAGCACCUUCUAAGCCCCCUCCCCACCCGUACACAGGUUCUUCUAUUACCUAACUUUCCUCUUUUUCUUCUACAAACCUCAUUCAUGUGUGUGAAACAAACCCUUGAGUGACAAGAAACUUCUAGAAUAGAAAACAGCAACCUUCGCCAAACCUCUACCUGUGCUCCAAAUGGCCCCAGGAAAGACUUCAAAUGAAGUACUGAGCACUGAAAUUUCAACUGAUUUUUAAAAGCUGCUUCUUGGUUCAAUUUCUACAGCGACUCUGUCCGUGUGGGUGUGGAGGGGGUGGCCAGGGGCGGGAGAUACAAUAGGGCUCACCAAAGGGCUUACUUUGUUUGGUACCAGGGAUCGAACUCAUGACCUCAUGCUUGCCAGGCAGGUGCUUGUGCUGCUGAGCUAAAUCCCCAGCCCUGACCCUAUGGUUUUAAAAACUGAAGUUAAAAAACAGACUUCGGGGAUCUGACUGGAGGGUGAAGUCGCUGACCACCUGAGGCUCAGCCUCCCUUUCUCUGGGGGAGGGUUUCCAGGACGGAGCCCUUAGCUAGAAGCAAGCACAGCAAACUUGAAUCACAAUGCUGAUGAUGUACCCUGAAAGUUUUCAUUUUUUAAAAGAAAAGGCAGCAGGUUUGUUGAGUAACAAUCAACUGACUAAUAAAUUCCUCUAACACACAGCCUUCUUCAAAUACAGAUCACAUCUGCAAGAGGCCUACACAAGCUGGACACUGAACUCAGGCACCUAGUGUGGAGAAGAAGAAGGCUGUGUAUAACAGCUGUGUAUAACAACAAAUACAACUCAAACUGGCCUUCCAGAAAUAAAGGGCACACGCUGGUAAGGAAUCCAGAGACUUUUAGGUGAGGAUGACUCAGCAGCUCAGCCGGACCUGGUCUGAAUCAUUCUAAGCCUGUUUUUCCUCAUGGUCACAAUGAGGCUGCCAGGUGCUGUCAGGCCCCAUAUCCUUGUUCCUGUUCCAGUGGAAACCUCUCUUGGUAGCUUCCAAAAAAGAGAAAGGAUCAUCUUUCCGAGAACCUCUUGUCCGCCACCCUCAUGACGGACACCAGACGGACUAAGUGACUUCAACCACUCUGGUGCUGGCGCUGCACGGGGAGUCAGGCCACUUGAGAGAGCACUGUGGGCUCCCACUUAGCAAAAGGGGAGAAGUCCAGAAGGAGCCCCAGCAACAGGAGGUGAUGGAGGAGACACCAUGUCUGUGUCCCUGCCCUCAGGAGAGACCACAGAAAGUGCUAAAGGCUCCGUGUGACUGAGUCGCUCUGGCAACUGCAGAAGAGCCGGCUUUGCACCCUGGGGCGAUGCAGGGGGCACCCAGAGAGCGACCACUCCUGGGUCGCCCUGCUGGCUGCCCCGAGGAGCUGGGGACCGCAAUCCGGCCAGGCCUGGAGGCAGGGCAAGGCUUGAGGGAUUGAGGGAGCCGGUGAGCAGGGGGCCCGGUGGAGGGCGGCUGGAGAGCCUGCCUUAGGCAGGGACAGGACCGGGCAGUGAGCAGAUGGGGCUCACGUACUAGCUGGGAAAGAUGGCACCCAGCAGGUCGUCCCCAAAGUGAAGCUCACUGGUGACAAUUUGUAGAAAGCUUCCAAUGAACAAUUUAAAGGCCUUACUAAGUUUGAGCCUCUGGCGUGAGAGACCAAAACCAGCAACGAGAUCAAAAAGGAAUUUGGAGAAAGCAGACAAGAUUCAGAGAGGGAAAUACGUUUUUAAAAAGCAUGACUAAUAUCCUGGAAGGCAUACAAUAUUGCACUAACAGCACGAGCACGGCUAUCUUUCAGAAGGAUAUAAACCAAUAAAAGCAAACCCUUUGGAUUAGAACUACGGGAAGCAGGGGGUGGUGGCACACGCCUGGCACUUGGAAGGCUGAGGCAGGAGGCUCAGCAUGAGCAUCACUGUGAGUCCAGGGCCAGCCUGCACCAACUAGUGAGACCCUGAAGCCACACUGACUUACGAACUGAUACGACUCCACCCAACGCACCCCAUCGUCCAGACCUGAAAUCUGAUUUCCAAAUACCAGAUCUCCGACCACAUCAAAAGACCUCAGAACUUUUCACCCUAGUGUCACCAAUGAUAUGAGCAUCCUCCGGGCUCUGGACUUUGGAGGUCAGAAGCACUUGACAAACGUCUGUUGUUGCUGGUGUUGUCAUUUUUGUUUUAAAUGAGCAUCUGUUUGAAAAAUGAUAUGAAUGGCAUAGAACACUUUUCAAACAUUUCUAACAUCAAGAGGUCCUGAGCAGAGAGCUCACUCUGCGCUCACUGAGUCACACAGGACUGAAGGACUCUGCUGGGAAUGUCCAAACUUACUCCAGGGCCUUUUAGAAGGUCAUCGAGCCAAAGUUUAAAGACAAACCUAGGACUGGCUAACUUAGAGCAGACUAUUCUGCAGCAAACCUACAAUUUCAGCGCCAUUUGACCCCCAGAUAUCCAAAAGUGCAGAGAAAUGCAAGCGUGCACGUGCACACACACACACAUGCACACACGUGUGCUUUUUUAUCACUUUUGUCAAGCUGCCUGCCUCACCCCACUGGGGACCCGGGUGCUGUGCUCACCUGCAGGCCCUACUUGGGGGACUAUCGAGGCACAGGCAGCGUGGGGGAGAAGGAGACUGAACACGUUCCAGACCCCGAGGUGCAGAACCCCGAAAAGGACUUGGGCACACUCCACUGUUCCCAGGAACCAGAAGGCGGGAGGCUCGGGCCUGGACUGCAGGAAUGUCCCUGAGUGAGCCCAGGACGCACACCCUCCCGCUGCACCCGAGAGAGAAAGCCAGAAACUAAAACAAAACAAUGGGAAAGCUUUUUUAAUGAAGGAAAAUGAAAUGAUGGCUCGGUGAACUCUGCAUCGGAAAGCAGUGAAUGUGUUUGUAAACCAAAGCAAGAUGUUGAAACCGUAGAAAGAGGAGGAUUUCAAAACAACACAGAAACCUUGACAUAAGGGGGCCGGGGAUUUAGCUCAGCGGCAGAAGCACCUGCCUUGCAAGCAGGCGGUCGUGAGUUCGAUCCCCGGUACCGAUAAAAAAGAUUAAAAAAAAAAAAAAGAAACCUUGACAUAAAGCGGUUCAGUGGUGG
Molecule: long non-coding RNA, 4797 nt
Organism: Cavia porcellus (domestic guinea pig)
Lineage: Eukaryota; Metazoa; Chordata; Mammalia; Rodentia; Caviidae
Exons: 4
Source: RefSeq, a predicted model, not a curated record